Molecule: ribosomal RNA, 1480 nt
Filed under: uncultured Glomeromycotina
Lineage: Eukaryota; Fungi; Glomeromycota
Description: eukaryotic LSU rRNA
Rfam family: Eukaryotic large subunit ribosomal RNA (bases 629-1480)
Source: RNAcentral
UAUUGCUCUUGAACGAGGAAUCCCUAGUAAGUACAAGUCACUAGCUUGUGCUGAUUACGUCCCUGCCCUUUGUACACACCGCCCGUCGCUACUACCGAUUGAAUGGCUUAGUGAGGCCUUCGGAUUGAAAUUCGGAGACUGGCAACAGACUCUUGGUUUUGAAAAGUUGGACAAACUUGGUCAUUUAGAGGAAGUAAAAGUCGUAACAAGGUUUCCGUAGGUGAACCUGCGGAAGGAUCAUUACCGAUAUGAAGAGUGAUGCUAGUGAGGAGAAAGUAGCGCGAUAUUAAGAUAAAUUGUGAGAUAGCAGAAAUUCCUUGAUUACAUUCAAAAUUCUGGAAUCGCCAAAUUGCACUCUCUCUAGUUAACCCCGGGGGAGGUAUGCCUGUUUGAGGGGUCAAAGGUUAAUAAAAAAAUCGGGUGGCGUGCAAUUUUUUGUGAUGUCCCGGGGAGUUUGGAGUAUUCUUAUCUUCUUGGGUUUAAGAGGCUUAAAAAAUUGGCCUUUCUUUGUUGCAUUUUAGACGGUACAAUAAAAUUUUUUUUUAUUCGUUUUAUCGUAAAUGCCAAAAUCUAUUAGAUGCCGACCCAUAUCGUGUGGUUCCCGUGGUCUAUAAAAUUUUUCAUGAUUGGACCUCAAAUCAAGGUAGGGAACACCCCGCUGAACUUAAGCAUAUCAAAUAAGGCGGAGGAAAAGAAAAUAACAAUGAUUCCCCUAGUAACUGCGAGUGAAGAGGGACAAGCUCAAAUUUUAAAUCUAUCGGGUUUUACCUGAUCGAGUUGUAAUUUGAAGAAGCGUUUUUCUGCGUAUUUGGUCAGCCUAAGUCCUAUUGAAUGAGGCAUCAUGGAGGGUGAUAAUCCCGUCCGGUUGAUCAUUUGCGUUUUACGAUACGCUUUCUAAGAGUCAAGUUGUUUGGGAUUGCAGCUUAAAAUGGGAGGUAAAUUUCUCCUAAGGCUAAAUAACGGCGAGAGACCGAUAGCGAACAAGUACCGUGAGGGAAAGAUGAAAAGAACUUUGAAAAGAGAGUUAAACAGUACGUGAAAUUGUUGAAAGGGAAACGAUUGAAGCCAGUCGUACCUUCGGGUAAUCAGCCUUUCGGGUGCGAUUCUGUGGAGUGUGAGGAGCUUAAACACCUUCAUGUUUUGCAUAUUCGUACUCUUGGGUGUACUUGCCCGUGUGGUUGGUUAACAUCAAUUUUGGUGGUCAUAAAAUGACUGGGGGAAUGUAGCUUCGAUCUUGUAUUGAAGUGUUAUAGCCUUCGGUAGAUGUGAUGAUCGAGAUUGAGGAUUGCAACGGAUACCCUUCGGGGCUACCUGUCUGGUCUCUGAUCGUUGCUCUGGUGCCGAAAGCUUGCUUACGGUUAUCAAAGUCGAUGGUCAAUAGGUUAGAACGGGUUAAAUUCGUUAAGGAUGUUGACGUAAUGGCUUUAAACGACCCGUCUUGAAACACGGACCAAGGAGUCUAACAUAUAUGCGAGUGUUC